AGAACUCCCAUGCAGAGUUGCUCCCCAAUGGCAAGGCGACGACGCAUUCGUAUGUCAAUCCAUAUCAACUUUCUAUGCCAUUUACUGUGCCUACCAUGGUUACCACGGGUAAUGUGGAAUCAGGGUUCGAUUCCAUACAGGGACCCUAACAAACGACUAUCACAUGCAAGGAAGACAGCAGGUGCGCAAAUGACCCACUCCAGAUGCAGGGAGGUGGU
Non-coding RNA from Pelobates cultripes (western spadefoot toad), 218 nucleotides. The record is from the annotation of a GenBank genome assembly. Lineage: Eukaryota; Metazoa; Chordata; Amphibia; Anura; Pelobatidae.